AGCAGCCGCGGUAAUUCCAGCUCCAAUAGCGUAUAUUAAAGUUGUUGCAGUUAAAAAGCUCGUAGUUGAAUUUCGGGGUUAGUAGAUUGGUCAUGCCUCUGGUAUGCACUGGUCUUACUGAUUCCUCCUUCCUGAUGAACCGUAAUGCCAUUAAUUUGGUGUUGCGGGGAAACUGGACUGUUACUUUGAAAAAUUAGAGUGUUUAAAGCAGGCUAACGCUUGAAUACAUUAGCAUGGAAUAAUGAAAUAGGACGUUCGAUCUUAUUUUGUUGGUUUCUAGGAUUGACGUAAUGAUUAAUAGGGAUAGUUGGGGGCAUUAGUAUUCAAUUGUCAGAGGUGAAAUUCUUGGAUUUAUUGAAGACUAACUACUGCGAAAGCAUUUGCCAAGGAUGUUUUCAUUAAUCAAGAACGAAAGUUAGGGGAUCGAAGACGACCAGAUACCGUCGUAGUCUUAACCAUAAACUAUGCCGACUAGGGAUCGGAUGAUGUUAAUUUUUAAUGACUCAUUCGGCGCCUUACG
Molecule: ribosomal RNA, 520 nt
Filed under: uncultured Glomeromycotina
Lineage: Eukaryota; Fungi; Glomeromycota
Description: SSU rRNA
Rfam family: Eukaryotic small subunit ribosomal RNA
Source: RNAcentral